GAUGAACGCUGGCGGCGUGCCUAAUACAUGCAAGUCGAGCGAACAGACGAGGAGCUUGCUCCUUUGACGUUAGCGGCGGACGGGUGAGUAACACGUGGAUAACCUACCUAUAAGACUGGGAUAACUUCGGGAAACCGGAGCUAAUACCGGAUAACAUGUUGAACCGCAUGGCUCAACAGUGAAAGACGGUCUUGCUGUCACUUAUAGAUGGAUCCGCGCCGCAUUAGCUAGUUGGUAAGGUAACGGCUUACCAAGGCAACGAUGCGUAGCCGACCUGAGAGGGUGAUCGGCCACACUGGAACUGAGACACGGUCCAGACUCCUACGGGAGGCAGCAGUAGGGAAUCUUCCGCAAUGGGCGAAGGCCUGACGGAGCAACGCCGCGUGAGUGAAGAAGGUCUUCGGAUCGUAAAACUCUGUUAUUAGGGAAGAACAAAUGUGUAAGUAACUAUGCACGUCUUGACGGUACCUAAUCAGAAAGCCACGGCUAACUACGUG
This 497-nucleotide ribosomal RNA is filed under the name uncultured bacterium. RNAcentral describes it as "partial 16S ribosomal RNA". It matches the Rfam family "Bacterial small subunit ribosomal RNA", at positions 28 to 507 of the family's 1533-position model. The record is from RNAcentral.